This 72-nucleotide transfer RNA is filed under the name Synechococcus phage B23. RNAcentral's name for it is "tRNA-Thr". It matches the Rfam family "tRNA". Rfam says of the family: Transfer RNA (tRNA) molecules are approximately 80 nucleotides in length. The record is from RNAcentral. RNAcentral also lists the same sequence under 1 other name. Lineage: Duplodnaviria; Heunggongvirae; Uroviricota; Caudoviricetes; Pantevenvirales; Kyanoviridae.
GCCCCCUUAAUUUAGUGGUAAAAUAGUGUCCUUGUAAGACACCUUCGCGGGUUCAAUUCCUCGCAGGGGGCU